UGGGGUUUAGCUCAGUGGUACAGCACAUGCUUACUUAGCAUGCAUGAGGUCCUGGGUUCAAUCCUCAGUACCUCUA
Molecule: transfer RNA, 76 nt
Organism: Camelus ferus (Wild Bactrian camel)
Lineage: Eukaryota; Metazoa; Chordata; Mammalia; Artiodactyla; Camelidae
Rfam family: tRNA
About the family: Transfer RNA (tRNA) molecules are approximately 80 nucleotides in length.
Source: Rfam